AGGCUUCGGCCAUUCGCCGCUCGCGCGUUAUGCCGGUGGUGCGCGCUGCCGCUGCCUCGUCGGAGGUGCCCGACAUGAACAAGCGCAACAUCAUGAACCUGAUCCUGGCUGGUGGCGCUGGUCUGCCCAUCACCACCCUGGCUCUGGGCUACGGUGCCUUCUUCGUGCCCCCCAGGUGCGCAGCGCAGCAUUGUAUGCACGUGUACCAUCUUCGCUUGCGACUGGAACGCCUCUCGCGGAUUAAAGAGCGGUCGACUUCAAGUCGGGGCAAGCGUAUGUGGAUUCGGCUUGCACCACAGAAUGGCCGCGCUCGCGUCGGGCCGCGUGAUCAGCCCAGCCGAGCUGACCCAUAGCUGUCUACAUUGUUCCUCUUUACAGCUCUGGCGGUGGCGGCGGUGGCCAGGCCGCUAAGGACGCUCUGGGCAACGACAUCAAGGCCGGGGAGUGGCUGAAGACCCACCUGGCUGGUGACCGCUCGCUGUCCCAGGGCCUGAAGGUGGGAAAAUAGGAACGUAUAAUUCAGCUGCAGUUGAGUGUGCCGCGGGAGCGCACAGUCGAGGUCGACCAUUCCUCUCACGCGGUUCGCUUUCUUUACUUGCAGGGUGACCCCACCUACCUGAUCGUCACCGCCGACAGCACCAUCGAGAAGUACGGCCUGAACGCCGUGUGCACUCACCUGGGCUGCGUCGUGCCUUGGGUGGCGGUGAGUCGCGCCAAACGAUGAACCAACUUUACUGCGGCGAGCGGUCGGCGAACCCUGAAAGUCUGGACUAGACGUAUUGUUGAUGUCAACUGUAAUUAUGUCUCUGCCCUGAGUCAUUUGUGUGCUUGACACUCGCAGGCCGAGAACAAGUUCAAGUGCCCUUGCCACGGCUCUCAGUACAACGCUGAGGGCAAGGUGGUCCGUGGCCCCGCUCCCCUGGUGAGCAGCAGCAGCAAUCUGGAGCUCGCGGGGCCUAGGGGUACUUGCAACAACAACACGGGCUGGAGGGGGGUUGCAGUGAAGCGUACGGGGACCAGUAUUGUCGGUACUGGUAUGCCCGGGUCUCCUCAGGAGCCAUCGCGUCCGCAGUCAACGUCCCAAUCCUAACUUCGUUUACGUAUCCCUCCUUUUGCAGUCGCUGGCCCUGGCCCACUGCGACGUGGCUGAGUCUGGCCUGGUCACCUUCUCCACCUGGACGGAGACUGACUUCCGUACCGGCCUGGAGCCCUGGUGGGCGUAAAUCCGCUCCUGCUACUGCCGCGUUUUGACGGCGCAGCUGCUACAGCCGCGGCCCGCGUGUUGAUUGUCUCUCUCAGCCAGGCCG
RNAcentral lists this long non-coding RNA (1307 nucleotides) under Chlamydomonas reinhardtii. RNAcentral's name for it is "long non-coding RNA (CREI_LNC000937)". Lineage: Eukaryota; Viridiplantae; Chlorophyta; Chlorophyceae; Chlamydomonadales; Chlamydomonadaceae. The record is from RNAcentral.